AUGUCCGGAGCGGGAGACAAGUGGGUGGCCUCGUCCGUCAAGGAGGAGGACAUUACGAAGCUUCGGGCGGCCGGAUAUUUGGCUGCAGAUAUUGCGCACCGGCUCCCGGACGUAGGGCAGAUCAUUCCGACUCCAGGACCCCAUGAGAGGGUCGUGUUCCUCGCCCACUUUGUCCAUGGACUGGGAUUCCCCCUCCACCCGUUUGUCCGCGGGCUCUUGUUCUAUUACGGGCUGGAUUUUCAUGAUCUGGCUCCUAACUUCAUCCUCAACAUCUCGGCGUUUAUCGUCAUGUGUGAGGCUUUUCUCCGCAUCAGGCCCCACUUCGGCCUGUGGCUAAAGAUCUUCAACGUGAAGCCGGAAUAG
RNAcentral lists this ribosomal RNA (363 nucleotides) under Triticum aestivum (bread wheat). RNAcentral's name for it is "partial small subunit ribosomal RNA". The record is from RNAcentral. Lineage: Eukaryota; Viridiplantae; Streptophyta; Magnoliopsida; Poales; Poaceae.